Molecule: ribosomal RNA, 258 nt
Filed under: SAR202 cluster bacterium
Lineage: Bacteria; Bacillati; Chloroflexota; Dehalococcoidia
Description: partial 16S ribosomal RNA
Rfam family: Bacterial small subunit ribosomal RNA
Source: RNAcentral
UUAGAGAGUUUGAUCCUGGCUCAGGGUGAACGCUGGCGGCGCGCUUAAUGCAUGCAAGUCGAACGUGCCUUCGGGCAAGUGGCAGACGGCUGAGUAACGCGUGAGUAACACACCCUUCGGUGGGGUAUAGCUUCGGGAAACUGAGGGUAAUCCCGCAUACGAUCCUUUUCCCUUGGGGGAAGGAUGAAAGCCUUCGGGCGCCGGAGGAGUGGCUCGCGUCCUAUCAGGUAGUUGGUGGGGUAACGGCCCACCAAGCCG